ACAGGGGGGGCAAGCGUUGUUCGGAAUUACUGGGCGUAAAGGGCUCGUAGGCGGCCAACUAAGUCACACGUGAAAUCCCCAGGCUUAACCUGGGAACUGCGUGUGAUACUGGAUGGCUUGAAUCCGGGAGAGGGAUGCGGAAUUCCAGGUGUAGCGGUGAAAUGCGUAGAUAUCUGGAGGAACACCGGUGGCGAAGGCGGCAUCCUGGACCGGCACUGACGCUGAGGAGCGAAAGCCGGGGGAGCAAACAGGA
Molecule: ribosomal RNA, 253 nt
Filed under: uncultured prokaryote
Description: partial 16S ribosomal RNA
Rfam family: Bacterial small subunit ribosomal RNA
Source: RNAcentral